AACGCGAACCUUACCUAAGCUUGACAUCCUUUUGACCGAUGCGUAAUCGCAUCUUUCCCUUCGGGGACAGAAGUGACAGGUGGUGCAUGGUUGUCGUCAGCUCGUGUCGUGAGAUGUUGGGUUAAGUCCCGCAACGAGCGCAACCCUUCCUUUAGUUGCCAGCAUUAAGGGGGCACUUUAAGGGACUGCCGGGGAUAACCGGAGGAAGGGGGGGAUGACGUCAAAUCAUCAUGCCCCUUAUGCUAGGGCUACACACGUGCUACAAUGGGUGGUACAAAGGGCAGCCAACUCGUGAGGGGGAGCAAAUCCCAAAAACCAUUCUCAGUUCGGAUGUAGGCUGAAACUCGCCUCAUGAAGUGGAGUUACUAGUAAUCGCAGAUCAGAAUGCUGCGGUGAAUGCGUUCCCGGGUCUUGUACACACCG
RNAcentral lists this ribosomal RNA (423 nucleotides) under uncultured bacterium. RNAcentral describes it as "bacterial SSU rRNA". It matches the Rfam family "Bacterial small subunit ribosomal RNA", at positions 958 to 1392 of the family's 1533-position model. The record is from RNAcentral.